Molecule: ribosomal RNA, 30 nt
Filed under: Paratlanticus ussuriensis
Lineage: Eukaryota; Metazoa; Arthropoda; Insecta; Orthoptera; Tettigoniidae
Description: partial 18S ribosomal RNA
Source: RNAcentral
UACGGUAGGUGAACCUACCGAAGGAUCAUU